GAUGAAGAACGUAGCGAAAUGCGAUAAGUAAUGUGAAUUGCAGAAUUCAGUGAAUCAUCGAAUCUUUGAACGCACCUUGCGCCCUUUGGCUAUUCCGAAGGGCAUGCCUGUUUGAGUAUCAUGAACACCUCAACUCUCAUGGCUUGCCAUGAUGAGCUUGGACUUUGGGGGUCUUGCCGGCCUAUGGGUCGGCUCCUCUCAAAUUAAUCAGCUUGCCAGUGUUUGGUGGCAUCACAGGUGUGAUAACUAUCUACGCUUGUGGUUUUCCAUCAGGUAACCUUCAGUGAUGGAGGUUCGCUGGGGCUCAUAAAUGUCUCUCCUCAGUGAGGACAGCUUUUUUGAACGUUUGAUCUCAAAUCAGGUAGGACUACCCGCUGAACUUAAGCAUAUCAAUAAGCGGAGGA
Molecule: unclassified non-coding RNA, 404 nt
Filed under: soil metagenome
Description: partial contains 5.8S ribosomal RNA, internal transcribed spacer 2, and large subunit ribosomal RNA
Rfam family: 5.8S ribosomal RNA (bases 1-121)
Source: RNAcentral